Molecule: ribosomal RNA, 489 nt
Filed under: uncultured bacterium
Lineage: Bacteria
Description: partial 16S ribosomal RNA
Rfam family: Bacterial small subunit ribosomal RNA
Source: RNAcentral
AUGAACGCUGGCGGCAGGCCUAACACAUGCAAGUCGAACGGUAACAGGAAGCAGCUUGCUGCUUUGCUGAAGAGUGGCGGACGGGUGAGUAAUGUCUGGGAAACUGCCCGAUGGAGGGGGAUAACUACUGGAAACGGUAGCUAAUACCGCAUAACGUCGCAAGACCAAAGAGGGGGACCUUAGGGCCUCUUGCCAUCGGAUGUGCCCAGAUGGGAUUAGCUAGUAGGUGGGGUAACGGCUCACCUAGGCGACGAUCCCUAGCUGGUCUGAGAGGAUGACCAGCCACACUGGAACUGAGACACGGUCCAGACUCCUACGGGAGGCAGCAGUGGGGAAUAUUGCACAAUGGGCGCAAGCCUGAUGCAGCCAUGCCGCGUGUAUGAAGAAGGCCUUCGGGUUGUAAAGUACUUUCAGCGGGGAGGAAGGGAGUAAAGUUAAUACCUUUGCUCAUUGACGUUACCCGCAGAAGAAGCACCGGCUAACUCCGUG